RNAcentral lists this ribosomal RNA (393 nucleotides) under uncultured Oscillatoria sp. RNAcentral describes it as "bacterial SSU rRNA". It matches the Rfam family "Bacterial small subunit ribosomal RNA", at positions 153 to 579 of the family's 1533-position model. Lineage: Bacteria; Bacillati; Cyanobacteriota; Cyanophyceae; Oscillatoriales; Oscillatoriaceae. The record is from RNAcentral.
GAAACGGCUGCUAUACCCAAUGUGCCGAGAGGUGAAAGCUUUAUUGCCUNAGGAUGAGCUCGCGUCUGAUUAGCUAGUUGGGGGGGUAAGAGCCCACCAAGGCGACGAUCCGUAGCUGGUCUGAGAGGAUGAUCAGCCACACUGGGACUGAGACACGGCCCAGACUCCUACGGGAGGCAGCAGUGGGGAAUUUUCCGCAAUGGGGGCAACCCUGACGGAGCAAGACCGCGUGGGGGAAGAAGGUUUGUGGAUUGUAAACCCCUUUUGAUUGGGAAGAAGACAAUGACGGUACCUAUCGAAUCAGCNUCGGCUAACUCCGUGCCAGCAGCCGCGGUAAUACGGAGGAUGCAAGCGUUAUCCGGAAUUAUUGGGCGUAAAGCGUCCGUAGGUGGU